UACGUAGGGUGCAAGCGUUAAUCGGAAUCACUGGGCGUAAAGGGCGCGUAGGCGGAUCUUUAAGUCGGGGGUGAAAGCCCAGGGCUCAACCCUGGAAUUGCCUUCGAUACUGAAGAUCUCGAGACCGGAAGAGGUAAGUGGAACUGCGAGUGUAGAGGUGAAAUUCGUAGAUAUUCGCAAGAACACCAGUGGCGAAGGCGGCUUACUGGUCCGGUUCUGACGCUGAGGCGCGAAAGCGUGGGGAGCAAACAGG
This 253-nucleotide ribosomal RNA is filed under the name uncultured bacterium. Its description in RNAcentral is "partial 16S ribosomal RNA". It matches the Rfam family "Bacterial small subunit ribosomal RNA", at positions 524 to 776 of the family's 1533-position model. The record is from RNAcentral.